RNAcentral lists this ribosomal RNA (501 nucleotides) under uncultured bacterium. RNAcentral describes it as "partial 16S ribosomal RNA". It matches the Rfam family "Bacterial small subunit ribosomal RNA", at positions 29 to 523 of the family's 1533-position model. The record is from RNAcentral.
AUUGAACGCUGGCGGCAUGCCUUACACAUGCAAGUCGAACGGCAGCACGGGUGCUUGCACCUGGUGGCGAGUGGCGAACGGGUGAGUAAUACAUCGGAACGUACCUUAUCGUGGGGGAUAACGCAGCGAAAGCUGUGCUAAUACCGCAUACGCCCUGAGGGGGAAAGCGGGGGAUCGCAAGACCUCGCGCGAUUAGAGCGGCCGAUGCCUGAUUAGCUUGUUGGUGGGGUAAAAGCCCACCAAGGCGACGAUCAGUAGCUGGUCUGCGAGGACGAUCAGCCACACUGGGACUGAGACACGGCCCAGACUCCUACGGGAGGCAGCAGUGGGGAAUUUUGGACAAAGGGGGCAACCCUGAUCCAGCAAUGCCGCGUGAGUGAAGAAGGCCUUCGGGUUGUAAAGCUCUUUUGUCAGGGAAGAAACACCGGCUCUAACACAGUCUGGGAAUGACGGUACCUGAAGAAUAAGCACCGGCUAACUACGUGCCAGCCGCCGCCGUAA